Long non-coding RNA from Anneissia japonica, 167 nucleotides. RefSeq lists it as uncharacterized. Lineage: Eukaryota; Metazoa; Echinodermata; Crinoidea; Comatulida; Comatulidae. The transcript has 2 exons. The record is from RefSeq and is a predicted model, not a curated record.
UCUUUGGAUAAAAUAUUUUGAGCUGGUCUUGGAAACAUAAGGUUAAAUAUUUAAAGUGAGGUGAACAAAUAAAAUUAGAUAAACAUAUGGAUGAGUAGAGGAGGUAGGGUGAGACCAGGAGUAAAUUGAACCUAACAAACUGAGGAAUCAGAAAUACACUUUUUUUU